RNAcentral lists this ribosomal RNA (118 nucleotides) under Pteropus alecto (black flying fox). Lineage: Eukaryota; Metazoa; Chordata; Mammalia; Chiroptera; Pteropodidae. The record is from RNAcentral.
UUUUAUUUUGUGCUACCCUGAACAAGCCUGAUCCCGUCUGAUCUCGGAAGCUAAGCAGGGUUGGGCCUGGUUAGUACUUGGAUAGGAGACCACCUAGGAAGACCAGGUGCUGUAGGCA